Molecule: long non-coding RNA, 1530 nt
Organism: Xenia sp. Carnegie-2017
Lineage: Eukaryota; Metazoa; Cnidaria; Anthozoa; Malacalcyonacea; Xeniidae
Exons: 3
Source: RefSeq, a predicted model, not a curated record
ACCCACGUUGAUUUUAUUGAGUAAGUACGUCGAUGUCGUUCGAGCAGACAUCAACACUGGCUUGUUUCAUGUAAACCGCAAGGUCACAACAAAAGCCAAGCAUAUGAAAUAGUUUAUUUUCGAGUUAAGAAGAUACUCUCUUGAAGAAGUAAAUAUUAAUAUUUCUGAGACCGACAGAAUUUCUCACGUGAAAAGAUUUGAAACGUCGAUAACAUACAAGUUGAAUGUGGCCAACUUUUGCUGUCUCACACGUUUCAUUUUUACUCCUACAACUACAAAUUGAAAACUUGUUUCCUCGAGCAUUAUGUGACAGUCGAAUGUAUCUGCUUAAACUACAUACUUUUUCGAAUACGAAAGGUAUACAAUUGCCACUUGAAGGGAAAUGGUCAUGGAAAUAUGGUUUGGUGUGGUUCAAGCAUUUGAUUUCUGCACUCGUUGUUUUGAAUACUCUGCUUCUGCUAUUCUUUUUUGAAAACAUUCAGAGCAUUAAUAAUGAAGCAUGAAGGAGACUUGUUUCUUUUUUUUGAGGAGCACGUGGCAACUGUACACAAAUUUGUCGAAGGAUUCAUUAGCAGUUUGAGUGCCUUGAAGCAACUAUUGAGUUUGCUAUGAACAUCCCAAUAAGUUUAUUUAAGCCAGAAUGUUAAUUCAUAACGGAAAUGUUACCUCAUAUCUUCAAGUUUUUCUUUAAUAUAUUUGAAAAAAAGCAAUUGUUGCUUGUUGAAUUAUAACAUACGCCUAAAAGCUAAAUCAAUAGCCAUUCGAAAACUUCCCUAAAACGACUACGGAUGGCAUGUUAUCAACAGUAACUGAUUCAAAAAUAAAAUUUGCUCGGCAGGCACAUCCCCGUCAACUCUUAGUGGAUUCAAAUUAUGUUUUUCUUUCGACAAGAAAUUGAUUUCGAUGAUUACUAGAAAUCAUAAUGAAUAAUAUGAGAGAAAUUGUUCAAGAAAUGGCGCUUGCAUGGUUAGUAAUAAAGUUAAUUGUUUUGGAGAUCAGUGUUCAUUGUAUUAUCUUUUUUAAAGCUGUGAAGAGAUGGAAUUGUAAUCUCAUAAUGAUAAGCGAUCUGAAGCGAGCUCAUUUUCUCUUGAUAAGGACUCAGAUGAAUUAGAGGAAAUUACAUGGAUUACGACACGAAUAUUGAAGAUUUGUGUUCCCGAGAGUCAGAUAUAGAAACAAGAUUUUUUAUGCAAGUAGUCUCUGAUGUUUUUUAUUGGUUCUUACUGCCGUCAUGGUUGCAUUAGUUAAACAAGUCGUUUAUGACGUUUUAUUGAAUGGAAAAGUUUGCUCAUCUUUGGAUUGCAAACAAAGCUUAGAAAAUUUAGCCCUGCACGCAUGGAAAGUUUAUGUGUAAUAACUGCAAGCUUUUACAUCUACUUGGAUUAAUGAGAAAACCAUUAAGCAAAAGAACGAAACUAAUUUUAAUUUAAUUUUUCAAUUCAUCUUGUGUAAAAUCUAUAAUUUUAUAAACAUAAAUCAUCAUUAAGUAAACUUCAAUUGCUAGACACAUUAAAUUGUUCCCAUAACGUA